CUUGCAAAAUCAAUUCAGGAUGGAUGAAAUGGAGGAGUGUGAUAGGUGUAUUAUGUGAUUGGAAGAUCCAUGACAAAGUGAAAAGUAAGUUUUGUAGGACUGUGUUUAGGCUAGCUAUGUUGUAUGGGAGUGAAUGCUGGGCAUAUAAGGUACAAUUUAUCCACAAGACAAGUGUGGUAGAACUGUGAAUAUUAAGAUGGAUGUCUUGUAACGUGAUAAUGGAUAAGAUUAGGAAUG
RNAcentral lists this unclassified non-coding RNA (237 nucleotides) under Hevea brasiliensis (rubber tree). Lineage: Eukaryota; Viridiplantae; Streptophyta; Magnoliopsida; Malpighiales; Euphorbiaceae. The record is from RNAcentral.